This 146-nucleotide ribosomal RNA is filed under the name Ramaria cf. gracilis AGK 018. RNAcentral's name for it is "5.8S ribosomal RNA". Lineage: Eukaryota; Fungi; Basidiomycota; Agaricomycetes; Gomphales; Gomphaceae. The record is from RNAcentral.
CCUUUUUCCACCGGAUAUCUCGGGUUUUUCAUCUCUAAAAAAAACCCCGCAAACGCGAAAAAUAAUGUGAAUUGUGCAAAUCUCUGAAUCUCCUCAUCUCUGAAAACAUCUCGCGCUCCCUGUGAUUUCCAGAAGAAUGCGCGUGU